UCCAACUGGCGUAUCGCCCAGUCUGUCACACAGUGAAUAACUUGUGGUAAACACCAUCAAGCGCUGUUCCUCCGGCAAAAAGAAGGAUGCAAGUCCACAAAGAGUUCGCCAGCAUUGAGUCGGUGGGAUAAAUGAACAGCGAAGCUUGCUCCGUCAUCUCCGUGCUUAGUCUGAGCAGAACAUCCACACACUCACCAAGCAGUUGAAGUUGGUGGAAUGGACCUUCUUGCUGCUCACUGCCUGGAAGAAUGUCCUCAUCGACUCCAAACCUGCUUGACAGACCAAAGCCCAGGCCAAGCCAAGGCUGCUGGUGACCUCUGCCCCAGAAGUAAUCAAUUUAGAUUUAAAGUAAUUAUUGAUAGAGAGAGAGAGAACCAGUGAGAGAAGAAACACCAGCAGGGGGAGUGGGAGAGGAAGAUGCAGACUCCCAGCAGAGGAGCCUGAUGCAGGGCUCGAUCCCAGGACCCCGGGAUCACACCCUGAGCCAAAGGCAGAUGCUUAAUGACUGAGCCACCCAGGCACCCCAGGAGCUAAGUUUUUCUAAUAACUGUGUAACCCUCUGUAUUUGCCUUUGGAAUCUCUUGUCAUCACCUUGGUUAAACAGAUAAUUAAAUAUUAAGUUUUACACUAAUCUGUGAUCCUACUUAAGCAUGUGCUUUAAAACCUUCUGGGUUUUUAAACAAAUUUCCCAGAAAUUCAAAUUCUAAAUGAAGUCUUUCUGAUUAAUCAGACUUGUUUAUUUGGUAUAUUAAGUUACAGGACAAGCAUUGUGAAACAAAUGAUGAUAAGCCUUUGUAAAUUAUAUUGUAUGGGUAAAUGCUAUAACAGUUCCAGAAAGUAUAUGAAAUUCCUAGUUUUAAUAUGUACUGAUAUAAUGUCAUCACUUAAAAUUCUAAUUAUUAAAAUGUUGUGUGUCACAAAAAUAACUGAAUGUCAUUGUCAACUACACUAUAAUGAAUUCUCAUCAGAUCUUUAACCAUGUCCAUUUUUGAGUUAUUUGUCCUUAACAGUUAUUGUUCUGAUGCUCU
Ailuropoda melanoleuca (giant panda) is the source of this 1028-nucleotide long non-coding RNA. RefSeq lists it as uncharacterized. The record is from RefSeq and is a predicted model, not a curated record. NCBI's taxonomy places the organism in Eukaryota, Metazoa, Chordata, Mammalia, Carnivora, Ursidae. The transcript is spliced from 3 exons.